This 465-nucleotide ribosomal RNA is filed under the name uncultured bacterium. RNAcentral's name for it is "partial 16S ribosomal RNA". It matches the Rfam family "Bacterial small subunit ribosomal RNA", at positions 338 to 795 of the family's 1533-position model. The record is from RNAcentral.
CCUACGCGAGGCAGCAGUAGGGAAUCUUCCACAAUGGACGAAAGUCUGAUGGAGCAACGCCGCGUGAGUGAAGAAGGGUUUCGGCUCGUAAAGCUCUGGUGGUAGUGAAGAAAGAUAGAGGUAGUAACUGGCCUGUAUUUGACGGUAAUUACUUAGAAAGUCACGGCUAACUACGUGCCAGCAGCCGCGGUAAUACGUAGGUGGCAAGCGUAGUACGGAUUUAUUGGGCGUAAAGCGAGUGCAGGCGGUUCAAUAAGUCUGAUGUGAAAGCAUUCGGCUCAACCGGAGAAUUGCAUCAGAAACUGUUGAACUUGAGUGCAGAAGAGGAGAGUGGAACUCCAUGUGUAGCGGUGGAAUGCGUAGAUAUAUGGAAGAACACCAGUUGCGAAGGCGGCUCUCUGGUCUGCAACUGACGCUGAGGCUCGAAAGCAUGGGUAGCGAACAGGAUUAGAUACCCGAGUAGUC